Long non-coding RNA from Orbicella faveolata, 638 nucleotides. RefSeq lists it as uncharacterized. The record is from RefSeq and is a predicted model, not a curated record. NCBI's taxonomy places the organism in Eukaryota, Metazoa, Cnidaria, Anthozoa, Scleractinia, Merulinidae.
UAACAUAUGCCCACCUUAAGCCUCAGGGGGCGGAAAAUCCUCGCGUGAGAUCAAAGCGACUUCUUCGAUGCUUUGUGACUCGAAGAUAUAUAAAGACGAAUAGAAGAUUUGCGAAUCACUCAUUCACUGCUCGCCAAGUUGAAAGGAGGACCCAAUCACUAGAGUUCCUAAGUUUUUCAAUUACUAUGACGACUAGAAGAUUUGGCAUCUCCGGCCUGUUAUGCAUUCUUUUCCUGGCUUCGCUUCUCGUGUCAUCGGAGGCAUUUUUUGGUAAUAGAGUUGGUGGUAAAAGAACUGUCAAGCAGCCUCACGGAAUUUCUAGAGAUGCCUGCCAAUUGGCGCUUCAGCACUGUCUUGAUUCUCAGCAGAAGUCACGUGAUGAAGAAAUAACCAAUGAGAAACCAGAGAAGGGGAACCUGGAGUAUUUUCAUCAAUGAUCAUGAAACGGAUUGAUUUCAUCUCGCCGCCGCAUCGUUUUCUAUUGAAGUUACAAAGAUAGUUUGUGUUUAUUUUGUUUUAGUAGCCAGAAGAGUUCGAUUAUUGCGAUCAAACCACUAUAAACUCUAGAACUUUAUAUAUAGUUAUAAAAAUAUCGUCAAAAUAUUGUAAUAUAGCACAAUAAAAUCACAUUCAAAAUA